RNAcentral lists this long non-coding RNA (905 nucleotides) under Parus major (Great Tit). RNAcentral's name for it is "lncRNA (ENSPMJG00000010864.1)". The record is from RNAcentral. Lineage: Eukaryota; Metazoa; Chordata; Aves; Passeriformes; Paridae.
AUGUGGUUGAGUGGUUUCUGUGGCUCUGGAGGAAGGAUACCAGUGCUGGAGUUCCUGCUUGGAGUUCAGUGGGAUGACAAAGGCUGUCCCAGAGAUCAGCCCUGUGAAAAGGAGCUGGCUUUGCUCAGAUAUUUACAGCAUCUCACUCAGGCAGAUGUGUUCAGUGUGUCACACCCUUCACCUGUGAAACAAGGAAAUCAGGGAGACUGUUCCUACUCUGUCUGCCCUCAGAUGGGGCUCAUGUUUGGCUUCUUUACUUGUGAAACUGCUUAUUAUUCAUAUUUCAGAUUUUCACCUGUCACAAACUGUUCCAGACAAAAGCUUCAGAGGGAGAAGGUUCCUGGUGACCAGACAUGUUCUGCCUCUUCACAAAGAGAAUUUCACCCCAAAUUUGUUACCCCUUAAGCUCAAGAGUCAAGUAAAACCUGGCCAAUGGGAAAUUCCACAUGCUGACCCCUUUGAAAGGACUCCUGGCAUUUGAGGGAGAAGUUACUGCCAACACUUCCCUAAGGAAUGGGAGCUACUGGAGCUGCAGUGGGAACAGACUCAUCUUUGCCACCAGCACAGAGCAAAUCCUUCUUGAGCAGACUGCCCCCAUCAGAAAAGAUCUGCACAAAAUGUUCAUAGACAUGAAGCCAGAAAAGCUGAGUGAAGUUGAGAGGGAUUAACAGUGAAAUUUGGUCUGGCCACUUGCAAAGCUGUAAAGUGCAGCAGGAUGGAGUUUGCUUUUCCAUUUGGGAGCUGUGGAAGUCUGAGGAGGAUGCUCUGUUUGGAAUGGAGAAGGAAGGUCUGUUGAUUACAGAUCUGUUGUCUGGCUCAUCAAACCUUUGGAUAUUAUAAGAAAUACAAGAAAUACAGUUAAAAAGUUGAACAAAUAAAUGUGUACAAUGGAUAGAGAUCCCCCA